Molecule: transfer RNA, 67 nt
Filed under: Nippostrongylus brasiliensis
Lineage: Eukaryota; Metazoa; Nematoda; Chromadorea; Rhabditida; Heligmosomidae
Also listed under: 1 other name
Rfam family: tRNA
About the family: Transfer RNA (tRNA) molecules are approximately 80 nucleotides in length.
Source: Rfam by way of RNAcentral
GGCCUUGUGGCCUAAUGGAUAAGGCGUCGGACUUCGGAUCCGAAGAUUGCAGGUUCGAGUCCUGCCA